This 492-nucleotide ribosomal RNA is filed under the name uncultured bacterium. RNAcentral's name for it is "partial 16S ribosomal RNA". It matches the Rfam family "Bacterial small subunit ribosomal RNA", at positions 29 to 507 of the family's 1533-position model. The record is from RNAcentral.
AGUGAACGCUGGCGGUAGGCCUAACACAUGCAAGUCGAACGGCAGCACAGUAAGAGCUUGCUCUUACGGGUGGCGAGUGGCGGACGGGUGAGGAAUACAUCGGAAUCUACUUUUUCGUGGGGGAUAACGUAGGGAAACUUACGCUAAUACCGCAUACGACCUACGGGUGAAAGCAGGGGAUCUUCUGACCUUGCGCGAUUGAAUGAGCCGAUGUCGGAUUAGCUAGUUGGCGGGGUAAAGGCCCACCAAGGCGACGAUCCGUAGCUGGUCUGAGAGGAUGAUCAGCCACACUGGAACUGAGACACGGUCCAGACUACUAAGGGAGGCAGCAGUGUGGAAUAUUGGACAAUGGGCGCAAGCCUGAUCCAGCCAUACCGCGUGGGUGAAGAAGGCCUUCGGGUUGUAAAGCCCUUUUGUUGGGAAAGAAAAGCAGCAGGUUAAUACCCCGCUGUUCUGACGGUACCCAAAGAAUAAGCACCGGCUAACUUCGUG